CGCCGAGCCAAGGAGUACCAAUUUAGCCGGGCACCACCCGUUGUACCGGUGAGCCCUCGGGCAACACCCACAAGGAGAGGACUACUGCACUUGUAUGCUUGGCUGCAGAAGGAUUGGGUGCCUUGCUGACCAACACUGAGGUCCCAAAGAUGCGCAGAGUCAAGGAGUAUCCAUCUCACCCGGAAACCAGCUGCUGUAUUGGUGAGCCCUCGAGCAGCAACCAGAAGCACGGGACUCUUGCACUUUUAUGUCUGGCUGCACCCGAGCUUCGGUGCCUUUCUGACGAACACUGAGAUCCCAAAGGAUGCGCAGAGCCAAGGAGUAUCCAUAUCACCCGGCCACCUCGCGCUGUAUUGGUGAGCCCUCGGGCCGUAUCCACAAGGAGAGGAAUACUGCACUUGUAUGCUUGGCUGCAGAAGGAUUGGGUGCCUUGCUAACCGACACUGAGGCCCCAAAGAUGCGCAGACUCGAGGAGUAUCCAUCUCACCCGGGCACCUCCCGCAGUAUAGGUGAGCCCUCGAGCAGCUGCAAGAAGCACGAGACUCCUGCACUUCUACGAGUGGCUGCAGCAAGGAUUGGGUGCCUUGCUGACCAACACUGAGGUCCCAAAGGUUGC
RNAcentral lists this unclassified non-coding RNA (616 nucleotides) under Dermacentor andersoni. RNAcentral describes it as "uncharacterized LOC126529141". Lineage: Eukaryota; Metazoa; Arthropoda; Arachnida; Ixodida; Ixodidae. The record is from RNAcentral.